CCUACGGGUGGCUGCAGUGGGGAAUAUUGGACAAUGGGGGCAACCCUGAUCCAGCCAUGCCGCGUGUGUGAAGAAGGCCCUCGGGUUGUAAAGCACUUUCAGUGAGGAAGAACGCCUGGUGGUUAAUACCCAUCAGGAAAGACAUCACUCACAGAAGAAGCACCGGCUAACUCCGUGCCAGCAGCCGCGGUAAUACGGAGGGUGCGAGCGUUAAUCGGAAUUACUGGGCGUAAAGCGCGCGUAGGUGGCUUGAUAAGCCGGUUGUGAAAGCCCCGGGCUCAACCUGGGAACUGCAUCCGGAACUGUCAAGCUAGAGUGCAGGAGAGGAAGGUAGAAUUCCCGGUGUAGCGGUGAAAUGCGUAGAGAUCGGGAGGAAUACCAGUGGCGAAGGCGGCCUUCUGGACUGACACUGACACUGAGGUGCGAAAGCGUGGGUAGCAAACAGGAUUAGAUACCCGAGUAGUC
This 465-nucleotide ribosomal RNA is filed under the name Vreelandella stevensii. RNAcentral's name for it is "partial 16S ribosomal RNA". It matches the Rfam family "Bacterial small subunit ribosomal RNA", at positions 338 to 795 of the family's 1533-position model. Lineage: Bacteria; Pseudomonadati; Pseudomonadota; Gammaproteobacteria; Oceanospirillales; Halomonadaceae. The record is from RNAcentral.